UACAGAGACUGCAAGCGUUAUUCGGAUUCACUGGGCGUAAAGGGUGCGCAGGCGGCCAAGUGUGUUAGGCGUGAAAGCCUGGGGCUUAACCCCAGAAUUGCACCUAAAACUACAUGGCUAGAGCAUUGGAGAGGGUAGCGGAAUUCACGGUGUAGCAGUGAAAUGCGUAGAUAUCGUGAGGAACACCAGAGGCGAAGGCGGCUACCUAGACAAUUGCUGACGCUCAGGCACGAAAGCGUGGGGAGCAAAAGGG
Molecule: ribosomal RNA, 253 nt
Filed under: uncultured bacterium
Lineage: Bacteria
Description: partial 16S ribosomal RNA
Rfam family: Bacterial small subunit ribosomal RNA
Source: RNAcentral